RNAcentral lists this ribosomal RNA (519 nucleotides) under uncultured bacterium. RNAcentral describes it as "partial 16S ribosomal RNA". It matches the Rfam family "Bacterial small subunit ribosomal RNA", at positions 355 to 890 of the family's 1533-position model. The record is from RNAcentral.
UGGGGAAUAUUGGACAAUGGGGGCAACCCUGAUCCAGCAAUGCCGCGUGUGUGAAGAAGGUCUUCGGAUUGUAAAGCACUUUCGACGGGGACGAUGAUGACGGUACCCGUAGAAGAAGCCCCGGCUAACUUCGUGCCAGCAGCCGCGGUAAUACGAAGGGGGCUAGCGUUGCUCGGAAUGACUGGGCGUAAAGGGCGUGUAGGCGGUUUACACAGUCAGAUGUGAAAUCCCCGGGCUUAACCUGGGAGCUGCAUUUGAUACGUGUAGACUAGAGUGUGAGAGAGGGUUGUGGAAUUCCCAGUGUAGAGGUGAAAUUCGUAGAUAUUGGGAAGAACACCGGUGGCGAAGGCGGCAACCUGGCUCAUGACUGACGCUGAGGCGCGAAAGCGUGGGGAGCAACAGGAUUAGAUACCCUGGUAGUCCACGCUGUAAACGAUGUGUGCUAGAUGUUGGGUAACUUUGUUAUUCAGUGUCGCAGUUAACGCGUUAAGCACACCGCCUGGGGGAGUACGGGCCGCA